CCCUCUCCGCCUCCUUCCCCACCCCCCACACAUCGACCACUCGACGUUCAAGAAACAACAGGGCAAACACGGAGGAUAGAGACAUCGAGAUAUUGUGUAAUUUGAAGAGAGUCGAUGACAUAGAACGCGGCGAGAUGUGGGCGGGGCUUGUGUUAAGUCCCGCCCAUCGGCGGUUUGGAGAGAAUUGAUCGAGGCCGAGACGGAGGGCACGCU
This is a non-coding RNA of Caenorhabditis elegans, 213 nucleotides long. NCBI's taxonomy places the organism in Eukaryota, Metazoa, Nematoda, Chromadorea, Rhabditida, Rhabditidae. The record is from Ensembl.